CAGUCUUUUGCUAUAAUAUUUCCAUUUCAAUUUGCCAAGUUCUCAUAAUUCAGAUUAUGAAAAGGGAUGCUGUAAUCAUAAUAGAAUUUUAGAACGCAAAUAAUGGACCCAUAUACAGAAUUUCCUUAUGUUGAACCAUUCCAACAUGAAAUUCAUAUAUAUAUCCUUGACUAAAUGAUUAAAACCUCACGAUCUAAGCUUAUAGAUUUGAGAUGAAGUAUAAUUUCCUCUCCCUUAAUUAUAGCAAAACAACUUUUCCCAAUUGAAACCUUUUGUUUUCUAUAAUUAACAUUGCUAACUUGCAAUACUUAUCAUAAUUAUCAUGCUCCCACUAACAUGAUGAUUAUUAGCAUAACACUUAUGCUCCCACUAGCUUUGACAUGUACUCAGAAAUCAGCUGGACUUCUAGAAAUCAAUACUUCAUUGACUUUCUUACCAAAGUUCAGAUUUCUGAUACUAGAUUGUUUUGAUAAAACUUUAUCAAAAUCAUACACCUUCCCUUAGAUAGCACACUUGUGUAUCUAAACAAUUAUGAAGAGGGAUGUCGUAAUCAUAAUGGUUAGACCUUUUUGCCACUUCUCACAAGUCCAGGUUAGUGUGCCGGUAAACCACACACGCUCCACUAACGACUUUGAGAAUGCAAAUAUCACAAUUGCUAUCUAGCUAAAAUCUACUUAGUGAAAGUGUUUCCUCACCAUCAUUUUCAUGAAUCGGAGAGAAACCUUAUGACACUUAGAUUUAAUGGUGUAUGUGUUCUUAUCCAUGUGAAUUGUCAAAACCAUAGUCACAAGACAAGGAUAAUGACAAAUCCAAACUCAUAUGGACUGAACUCAAUCUUAAUUUCUUGCCAC
Molecule: long non-coding RNA, 851 nt
Filed under: Lactuca sativa (garden lettuce)
Lineage: Eukaryota; Viridiplantae; Streptophyta; Magnoliopsida; Asterales; Asteraceae
Description: long non-coding RNA (LSAT_LNC001229)
Source: RNAcentral